RNAcentral lists this ribosomal RNA (301 nucleotides) under uncultured bacterium. RNAcentral's name for it is "partial 16S ribosomal RNA". It matches the Rfam family "Bacterial small subunit ribosomal RNA", at positions 509 to 809 of the family's 1533-position model. The record is from RNAcentral.
CAGUAGCCACGGUAAUACGUAGGGUGCAAGCGUUAAUCGGAAUUACUGGGCGUAAAGCGUGCGCAGGCGGUUAUAUAAGACAGAUGUGAAAUCCCCGGGCUCAACCUGGGAACUGCAUUUGUGACUGUAUAGCUAGAGUACGGCAGAGGGGGAUGGAAUUCCGCGUGUAGCAGUGAAAUGCGUAGAGAUGUGGAGGAAUACCGAUGGCGAAGGCAGCCCCCUGGGCCAAUACUGACGCUCAUGCACGAAAGCGUGGGGAGCAAACAGGAUUAGAUACCCCUGUAGUCCCUGUCUCUUAUAA